UGUUAGCCAGGCUGGUCUCGAACUCCUGACCUCAGGUGAUCCACGCACCUAGGCCUCCCAAAAUGUUGGGAUUAUAGGUGUGAGCCACCAUGCCUGGCCGGGAGCAGCAUUCUUAAGGAAUUCAAGACACAGGAAGAACACUUGCCUUUAGUGGGAGCAAGACAACGCAGUGUGGCAGAAGACAAAGAAUGGGGGCACAAGUGCAAGGUGAAUUGGAGGUAGAAUAUAGGACUUAACUUUCUGACGGCUUCUGUUUUCUCAGUGAAGUCUGAGGCAAGGCCGGUGACUUAAACAAAGAAGGGGUAGUGGAUAAUUUCAGGAAAGAUGGACACUUCACCUUGAGCAACAGGACAAGGAACUGAGUAACUGGGAAACAAGGUAGUUUCAAUGCUGGGCAUUGUUGAAUCCCUUGCCGUGGCUUGGGGCCAUGAAUUUAAGGUGAAACCAGUCAGCUGAGUUAGUUGUGUGAUUUUUUUUUUUCUCCUAGCAACAUUCAGCUGUUAUGAGGGCAGCGAAGAGCAGGCAGGUGAUCAGUUCACCCAAAAUUCGUGUUUUGCCCUGCAGGUUUGACAGAGGAGAAGCAGUGCCAGAGGCUUGAGAGUAGUUGCAAGGGGGUGAUUUUGAUGAUGAACCUUGAAAUGUUAGCUGAGUAGGAAAGCAAGAGAAGAAUCAGAGUGGGGGCCAUGAAAAUCAUUACUGGCUUAAAGAGUAACUCUAUAGAGAAAUAAAGGGUUUUCCCAAUCCUGGAAAAAAAUGGUUAAAAUUGUAAAUCUUACAUAUAUUUUACCAUAGUAAAAAAUGAAUUAGGCUGGGCCCAUGGCUCACACCUACAAUCCCAGCACUUUGGGAGGCUGAGGCAGGCAAAUCGUUUGAGGCCAGGAGUUCAAAACCAGCCUGGCCAACAUGGCAAAACUCAUCUCUACUAAAAAUACAAAGAAAAUAGCCAGGCAUGGUGGCACACACCUGUAAUCCCAGCUACUCAGGAGGCUGAGGCAUGAGAAUUGCUUGAACCUGGAAGGCAGACAUUGGAGUGAGCUGAGAUCUUCCCACUGCACUCCAGCCUGGGUGACAUAGCUAGACUGUCUCAAAAAAAAAAAAAAAAAGAAUGAACACUUAAAUAUUUGUGGCAGAUAGAGGUGUUAUUUGCAUAUGGAAGAAAAUUGCUUUAGAAAUGAAAUUUCAGAUUACUGAAACUAAAGAGAAAGUAUCUCUUCUUAUCAUGGUACCAAGCUUGAGGGUGCAUAAGUCACCUAUAGACGAAAUAAGCAUUGAGUUUCAUUUUUUGUUUGUUUUUGAGACAGGUUCUCACUGUUACCCAGCCUGGAGUGCAGUGGUACAAUUGUAGCUCACUGCAGCCUGGACCUCCUGGGAUCAAGGGAUUCCCCCAACCUCAGCCUCCCAAGUAGCUGGGACUAUAGAAAUGCAACACCAUGCCCAGAUAAUUUAAUUUUUUUUUUUUUUUUUUUUUUUUUGUAGAGACAGGGGUUUCUCUUUGUCACCCAGGCUGGCCUCAAACUCCUGGGCUCAAGCAGUCUUCCCACCUUUCCCUCCCAAAGUGCUGGGAUUACAGGCGUGAGCCACUGCAUCCUGCCGAGAAAAUCAUUUUUUAUUUAAAUAAUGUCAAAUGGAAGUAUGUAGCACCCCCCCCCCACCUUCUUUUCCCCUUUCUUUCCUCUUUGAGUCUGCUGUCAUUCCCUUUUUCAUGAGUUUUCUCUGCUCCCCAAAUAGGCUAAACAAUAACCGUAAAGUGAGAUUAGAGAAAAUAAGAAUGGAGUAGAUGAUGGAAUUCAAAAUAGCUGUCUACAUUCUUCACUGAGAAAGAUAGCUUUGAGUUAAAGGUGAGAGGAGCAAAUCUGGGGAAAAACGGGUGAAACGGCAUGAUUUAAGUAGCAUACCAGAUGCGUUUCUGCAUGGCAUGGCUCUUGCUUGAUGAAUAAUGUUCUGUAUAGUAGAAGAGGAAAAUACAGUGAGUGAAGGAGCUGGCAGAAGGUGGGCUGGGGGAGUUGGGGAAGAGUGAAAUGAGUAUGGAGAGGUGAGAGAGCUGACUGCAAAGGCAUGUGGGGUGUGGAUUUUAAAAGGAAAGCCCUGAGGUGGAAAUCACUAACAUGGUGCCUGGCUACAAGCAGAGGGAGCUCAGGACUUGACUGUGCUGGGGGUGGCCUGCCCUUUUGUAGUGCAGUUGAGGAGAGCUCAGGGGCUGUCAGAAUGCUGUGUGGGAAGGUGGAGGAUGAAAGAGGACCUGGGAGCAGCAACUUUGUUCUGGUUUGUUGUUUUCUCUUCCCUACCUCGUAUGUACUCCCACUCAGGAAAAGAUCCUGAGACCUCUCUGUACCAGAUCCUCUUAUACCCAGGUUCUCCUUAAUCCCAAUCAACUUUAAUCUAUAAAGUUACGAUUUGUUUACUUAUAAAUUUAUUUUUAAUAAAGUUGUGAAACCGA
Molecule: long non-coding RNA, 2437 nt
Filed under: Homo sapiens (human)
Lineage: Eukaryota; Metazoa; Chordata; Mammalia; Primates; Hominidae
Description: HSALNT0106277
Source: RNAcentral